Molecule: ribosomal RNA, 262 nt
Filed under: uncultured prokaryote
Description: partial 16S ribosomal RNA
Rfam family: Bacterial small subunit ribosomal RNA
Source: RNAcentral
UACGUAGGGUGCGAGCGUUGUCCGGAAUUACUGGGCGUAAAGAGCUCGUAGGUGGUUUGUCGCGUCGUCUGUGAAAUUCCGGGGCUUAACUUCGGGCGUGCAGGCGAUACGGGCAAUACUUGAGUGCUGUAGGGGAGACUGGAAUUCCUGGUGUAGCGGUGAAAUGCGCAGAUAUCAGGAGGAACACCAAUGGCGAAGGCAGGUCUCUGGGUAGUUACUGACGCUGAGGAGCGAAAGCAUGGGUAGCGAACAGGAUUAGAUA